Molecule: transfer RNA, 72 nt
Filed under: Phrynosoma platyrhinos (Desert horned lizard)
Lineage: Eukaryota; Metazoa; Chordata; Lepidosauria; Squamata; Phrynosomatidae
Description: tRNA-OTHER
Source: RNAcentral
GUCAAUGUGGCAUAGUGGUUUGAGUGUUGGACUGCAACUCUGGAGUCUAGGGUUCGACUCCCAGCUCAGCCA